This 18662-nucleotide long non-coding RNA is filed under the name Homo sapiens (human). RNAcentral's name for it is "HSALNT0371105". Lineage: Eukaryota; Metazoa; Chordata; Mammalia; Primates; Hominidae. The record is from RNAcentral.
GAGAAACAAGUUGGAUGACCUAACAUCCUGUUAGAGACUGGCUGGAAGAGGAACCCAGAAGUAGACUGCACUGUUUGACCCUCACCGGUCGGUCGUAUGCAGAGUGGUUGUGUUCUUGAGCUGAGGAAUGCCGGCCUUGUUGCCUGUUUGGCUUUGAUUACAGUAUUUGUAGCAGAAUGUUGCUAUGGAGAUUCAUGCCAGGUACGCAGUGGGAGGUGAUCUAGAAGACCGUGUGCCAGCCACUCGUAGGUAAUCACUGGCGCUCAGAACAUGCUGAGACAAGAGUUCUCGUUGGUUUAUUUCCUUCCCCAGCUGUGUGAGUUUUCAGAUUUCAUCAUUGGAAAUGAUGUCUUACCCAAUGAUACAAAAGCAGAGGAAAUGCCUUUGUAGAAUUUCUUCCAAGGGAAGAAUGAAAGUAGAGAGGUGACUUAGCUUAGCUUUGUUGUCUCUAGAAUACGUUACAGUGUGUCAAGGGAAGGCUUUUCAAAGUAUUUGUCAAGGGAUUGUGAGGAACGUAGUCCAUUACUUUGUCAAAGAGUUUAUGUGAAAAGUAGAUAUUUGAAUAAUUUCUUAUAUUUCAAGCAGCGUUACAGCUAAUGUUUCUUUUAAAUCAAACCUUUUAUCUCCAAGGUUAACUAAUGGCACCUCGAGGUUACAUCUGCAGCCCAGUGUCUAGGAUAGUAGAGGAACAUAGUGCAAAUUCAUGUUUGUCAUCAGAGCUGGGUGUGGUGGCUGACACCUGUAAAUCCAGCUACUCCGAAGGCUGAGGUGGGAGGAUCUCUUGAGCCCCAUGAGUUUGAGACCAGCCUGGGCGACAUAGUGAGACCCUGUCUAAAAGAAAAAAAACAAAAGUGGUCUAACAUGUUUGCCAUCAGACAGUAGUUUUCAUUAAUGUGAACAUGACUGAGGUCAAGAAGUUUAUUCAUGUACCCAGCCUUUGCGGAGCAUCUGUGGUGUGCCACUUGGGGGAUGUGAAACCAGUAAACCACAUAGUUUUCAUCAUUUAGGAUCAUGCAGGUGUACAGGGUACAUGUGAAACAGUAGUGAGGCCCACACACUGGUGGGGGGAGAUCCAGUAAGCCUUUGGAAGGUGGGGGGUCAGCAGGGAGUGUUUCCUGGAGAAGAUGAAUGACUCAUAAGUUAUGAUUCAGAGAAUGAGUUAAGAGUUAGCCAGGUAAUGAGGGAGAAGGGCUCCCAGGCAUAUGGGAGGAACAAAGGCACUUAGGGAAGAAGCCGGGACAGAGUGUGUGUGCAUACAGGAAUAUUAUAAGUAUUGCUGGAGGGACCAGGGCAGGGUGUAGUGGGGGCUGAGGCCCAAAAGGCAGUCAGGGACCAGAUGGCCUCAUAUGCCCUGUUAAGGAGCUUGGGCUUGAUCCUCUAGGCAGGGAGCCGUUGGAGGAUUUAAGCCAGGGAGUGCUGCGGUUGGUCACACUCGCCAUUUAUGUAGAUCGUUUUGGCAGCCAGGGGAAGGAUGGAUUUGAGGGGGAUGAGAUUAGAAAGCUGGGAUAUGAGUUAGGAGGCUGAAAGAUGGUUGAUAAAAAUGAUCGUUGGGCAGCCGAGAUAACUGACUUCAAGGACAUAUACUGGACUUAUAGCAGAGCCUGUUGAGUCUUGCUUUUGCACACAGUUCAAAUAAUCACUUAGUCAUGUGGUUUAUCUGCCAGUGGCAAAUGUUAAGACUGUGGGGAAAAACUAGAAGAACCAAUAACAUCAUCAAGAAAUAAGUGAUAGGAGGCAAAAGUCAUAAAAGCCGUACAAAAAUUGGAAAGUUGACUGUUGAAGCAUCGUGGUUAAGACAGGAUUUGGGUUGCUAGGAAACUUUGGGGCAAGUAUUUAACCUUCCUAAGUGUCAGUUUCCUCCUCUUUAAAAUGGGAGUUAGUAAUACCAUCCUUAUUGAGUUAUUCUGAGGAUUAAAUAAGAUGAUGCGUAUAAACUAUUUUACACCAUGCCUGGCAAGAAAACCCAGUAAGUGGAAGCUGUUACUGUGAAUACAUUUUGUGGCCUUUUGAUUAGGGUAGUGUUUUCCUUAGAUCUCUAAUUUUGUGGAUGUUAAUUGUAUUAUAAUUACAUUAAAAAGAGUUCCAUGGUAAAUCAAUUUGGGAAUUAAAGAGGGGUUUGUUUUUUUGAGACAGGGUCUCUGUCGCCCAGGCUAGAGCAUGGUGGUGUGACCAUAGUUCACUGCAGCCUCCAUCAAACGAGCCUCCUGAGUAGCUGGGAUUACGGGCGCUUGCCACUACGCCUGGCUGACUUUUUUGAUUUCUAGUGUAGAUGAGGUCUUGCUAUGGUUUCCUAGGCUGUUCUCAAACUCCUGAGCUCAAGCAAUCCUUCUGCCUUGGCCUCUCGAGUGUUGGGAUUGUAGGCGUGAGCCACCACACCGGCCAAGAGAGGUUUUGUUUCUUCUGCUAGAGUGUGGUGAAGCUCCAGAGGGGCAGCCUACACAGUAUUUCUCGUUCACACUUGAUUGCAACUCUUAGAAAAGCUCACAGGACUGAGUCCUUGGGGGCACACUUUGGCAAAUGCUUAUUUAGGGGAGAAACAUACCCAUCUGCUUCCAUAGCCCAAGAGUAUUGCUCUAUCAGAGACAGCACCAUAGUCACUUGAUAUUCAUAAGGACAAUUCUAGAUCAUCAAGGAAAGCUACCUUAGUUUCAUGUACUCUGUUUAAGAAGGCAGGGAAGUAUAAUAGUAUGUUUUAUUUCUGAUCCCAACUAAUCAAACUUUUAAAAAUAAUGUUUUACGGCCGGGCGCGGUGGCUCACGCCUGUAAUCCCAGCACUUUGGGAGGCCGAGGCGGGCGGAUCAUGAGGUCAGGAGAUCGAGACCAUCCUGGCUAACACGGUGAAACCCCGUCUCUACUAAAAAUACAAAAAAUUAGCCGGGCGUGGUAGCGGGCGCCUGUAGUCCCAGCUACUCGGGAGGCUGAGGCAGGAGAAUGGCGUGAACCCGGGAGGCGGAGCUUGCAGUGAGCCGAGAUCGCGCCACUGCACUCCAGCCUGGGCGACAGAGCGAGACUCCGUCUCAAAAAAAAAAAAAAAAAAAAAUAAUAAUAAUAAUGUUUUACAUGUUUAUUAUAGAAAAUUUGGAAAACACAACCAUAAAGAAGAAAAGUGUAAUCACAUCAUAUCACUACCCAGAGAUAAACACUGUUAACAAAGCAUUUAAGUUUUUUUCCUUUGUUGUUCCCUUUUGGGAUGAUUUUUUAGAGUUUUUGUAGAGUUUUUGUUUGAUUUUAACCUAAAGUUAUACUCUGGGUAUUUUCUUAUUUUUUAAAUCAGAAUAUUCUUACAUGACAUGAUUUUUAACAGCUAUGUGAUCUUUCAUGUGGAUAUGUCAUUUAUAUAACCAUUCCUUUAUUGGAUAUUUAGGCACUUUUUUGCUGUCAUAAAUUAUAAUGCAGUUAACAUCUUUGAAAUCUGUUUAAAACAAAUACGUUAAAGUGAUCAACAUUUAACUUUUUUUUUUUUUAGUAAGUCUUAAGUGUCUAGGCAGUUUUUAGGUAAAAUAUCUGAUCCCCUACAUGAAAUAUGAUUAUAUAGUUUUUUAAUUACGAAAUUUCAGUGGAGUAAUCUCAACAGAUUCUCUUUUGACUAAUCCCUUUUUUCCCUAACCACAGACUGAAAAAAAAAAUUCCAUUAUUAGAAUAGCAUUUUCUCAUUUAAACGGAAUAGAAGAUGAGUAAUUGGAGUCACGUGAGAGUUAAAUUUUAUCUGUUGAACCAAAUUCCGGGUCAGGUGUUGGAAAGUUCAUGUCAUGAUGUAUUUUAAAUGUAAAAACAAAAUUGUCAAAAGAUACAGUCUUAAUAAACAUAAAUCCAGGGUCCACCUGGAUAGGCACUUUCUUAUUUGCACCUGUGUAAAGACUGGUCCGAAGAAUUCUUAGACAUGAAUUUCCAGAAAUUGUAAAAAGGAAAUAGAGAUGAGGGGGAAAAAACAAACAAUAAAACCCGAAGCUCUUCCUAAACAAAUGAAUGCUUUGGUUGUUGGUCCUGGCCAGAAACUAUUAAUAAGAAAAUCAGAAUUUUAGGAAUUCUGUCUUCCGUAAGCUGGUUUUUUUUUUGAGAUGGGAGGGGAGUAGAAGCUAUUAACUGACACCCCUCAUGGUCAGGUGGUCAUGACUAGGUAUCUGGACAUUUCUGCUCCUACACUGGAAUCUCAUACUUACACAGGAUCAAAUGUGUUCACUCCCAGAUCUGUUCAUUCUGGUUUUAUUACAAUAGUUCUAUGAUUUCAUUAAAUCCUGGGGCAACUGGAUUUUUGCAUGAGUGCAAAGAGAAAGUUAUUUCUACAAAAACUGUCAACUGAGUGCUUUGGAAAGCAUAGAUAUAAAUUGAUUCUCUUGAAAGAAAACUUGGUGGUGAAUUAGGUCUGGACUAGAUAGGGGAAGUGGAAGAAUUCCCAAAGGACUCGGACUCUGCCCUGAUUGCUUAUCCGGUGUCCAGUUCCCACCCCACAGGAAAAGGCGUGGCCUAUUGGAAAAAGAACUUCUAGUGGACCCCUUCCCUUAAGAAAAGACCUUUACCUUAAAUGAAACAUUGACAACAGAUUUUUAAAAUGCUUAGUGUGUGCUUUAACCAAACUGCUCAGUUACAGGGACCUAACUGGUUCUGAUGAUGUGGAGUGGAGGGCUCCGCUGUGCAUUUCCUGGCCUUUACUGCUGAGAUUCUAAUUCGGAAGGCCUAGGAUAGGGCCAGAGGACAAAGGCAGUUAACUUUGUGAUCUGUGUGGGUGUCCCAUCUUGUCUUCUGAUCCUCACUCCUGCCCUCCUUCCUCCAAGGUCUCCAGUUAUUCUGAAGCCAGUUAGGACAUUUUAUAACAUAUGCCAGUUAUCAGAACCAUUGACACCUGUUAGUAUAUUUCUUUAUUACUGACACCAUUAUCCACAUUAUAAGUCCAAGAAGAAGGGAGAGCUUGUUUUUCCUCUGAGUAUUAGAAAAUAUGUCUUCUGGCCAGGCACGGUGGCUCACGCCUGUAAUCCCCAGCACUUUGGGAGGCCAAGGCAGGCGGAUCACGAGGUCAAGAGAUCGAGACCAUCCUGGCCAACAUGGUGAAACCCCAUCUCUACUAAAAAUACAAAAAUUAGCUGGAUGUGGUGGUGCACACCUGUAGUCUCAGCUACUUGGGAGGCUGAGGCUGGUUGAACCCAGGAGGCAGAGGUUGCAGUGAGCUGAGAUCGUGCCACUGCACUCCAGCCUGGUGACAGAGUGAGACUCUUGUCUCAAAAAAAAGAAAAAAGAAAAGAAAAUAUGUCUUCUAGGAAAAACCAAACCCUCUCCUGGUAAGUUGUGCCUGCCAGCCCUAGAAACUGUCAAGUGUGUCACUUUCCAUCUUACCUAGGAAUAGUCCAUUUAUUUUCGAGCCUAGCUUUUUGUGUUUCUGUGGUUAGCUGCACUCACACGUACCAAUUUUUAGAUUCACGUCAGCUACAUAUGGAGGGGAUCGUUUGAGUCUAGAUCUCACUGUCUGUUCCUUUUCGAGGGAAGCAAGUUUUCUCUCAAGAAGGAUUUUGAUGUCUCCGAUAAAAAUAGCUAUCUUUAUUAAUCUAAUAGUUGGAAGUUAGAGGUUCUGUGUGUGGAGUGGGUUGUUUGGUGGAACAUUCGAUAAGCAGCUGGUAAGUUUCCUUCCUGAGUGGGCUGUAGCCUUGGAGAUGGUUUCACACAACCCCCAGGAUUGUCGUAUUUUAGGACUGUUUCAUAAUGUUCUCCGAUUCUUUAACUAUAUUUCUGUAUUUGCAGAUCUUUUAAUUUUGUCAACAUGUUAAUAGUCCAACUCCGCAACUGUUAAGUUUGUUUCAGUAAAACUGAAGAUUUGAAUUAAGCCACAUUAAUGUGUUUACAGCACAUCUAAGGGCCAUCGUAGGCUUGGGUUACAGGCUUCACCUGAAGACCUGAAUUCAGGUGGAGACUGGUGAAAUUAGUUUGUCAUUGGGAAUAUCUUUUUACUGAAUGAAGGUGAAUUUGGACUUUUAAAUAACCUAGCCUUUAAUGUAAAGCUCAAACUCAAAUUGCAUGUUACUUUGGUGAAAUUUACCUUGAAAUUAGUUGGUGUGAUAAAUCAAGUAUAGUAAAAUAAAAAGAGAUGCAGUUAACCUAGCUGAAUGUAUGGCAGCCUUUCUUUAUCAAACCUAACCCAUAAGCCUGCUGCAUUUAAGGUCUUAAUGCAAUUUGAGAAUAUUUCUAGUAGUAGAAUAGUACAAAAGCUAAGAUUUGUUUUAUUCCUUUUCUUUGUGUUAUAGAUAACUUUGAAUUUAAUUUUAUCUGGAGAGGAAAAGGUGAAAAUCAAAUUUCCCACCAAAAGGAACUAGUAUUCCUUUGAGAAGGGCCAGCUAAGCUUGGGGGCAGCAAAUGUACAGGAUUGGUCUUAGACAUAUUUUACUGGAGAGCAGGGCAGCAGUGGUGUCCCAGAACAGCCUUUUAUCAGAGAUAAAAACUUCAUUACUUCAUAAUGAUACUCCCAAAAAGCUUAUUGGUCAUUUUUGGAGUUUGCUCAGGUAUGAACUCAGUCUUCCAAAAGUUGGUUUAAAAAGAAAAAAAAAAGAACCAAGCAUUUAUCCAGCUUUUCCUAUAUAAACUGUAUUUCAUGUAGUCAAAUAGAUGAGGCAAAAAGUUUUUUAUAGAAGAAAUUGAGCCAACACAUGCAGAGGAUGAUAUUAAAGGAUUAUUGUGAAUUUUGCUAAAUGUGAUUAUGGCAUUGUAGCUAGGGUUAAAAAGUUCUUACCUGUUAGAAAUAUAAAAUUUUUAAGCAUGAAUGAUGAUGCUCGAAGUUUGCUUUAAACUACUUUUAAAAAAAAGCGGGAAUAUAGAUGAAGAUUGGCAAAUGUUGCUAAUUGUCGAACCUAGGAGACGGUUAUACAUAGUUUCAUCAUACUCAUCUCUCUACCUUUACUUUUUGAAAGUAUCUUCUAUAAAAGGUUUUUUUAAAAAAGGUAUAAAUAGGAAUGAACCUUAGAUGAUUGUUGUUAUAACAUGAAAAUAGAGAAAUAGUAAACUAGUAAAUUUCCAUUUGAUCCUCUGCUGGAGUGUAGUGGUGUGAUUACAGCCCACUGCGGUCUUGCCUUCCCUGGCUCAAGCAAGCCUCCUUCCUCAGCCUCCCAGUAGUUGGGACCACAGGUGCAUGCUGCCAUGGCUGGCUCAUUUUUUAUUUUUUGUAGAGAUGGGGUCUUACUUUAUUGCUCAGGCUGUUCUCCAACCAACUCCUGGGCUUAAACAAUCUGCCUGCCUGGGCCUCCCAGAGUGCUGGGUUUACAGCCAUGAGCCACCAUACCUGGCAUAAUUUAUUUUUAGAGAUAGGGUCUCACCAUGUUGCCUAGACUGGCCUUGAACUCCUAGGCUCAAGUGAUCCUCUUGCUUCAGCCUCCCAAGUAACUGGGGCUACAGGCGUGAGCCACUGCACAGUAGUUAAGAUCGCAGCUCUGGAGGGAGUUACUAGCAGUUGUAACUUUGACAGCUCGUUUAACCUUCCUAAGAUUGUGUUUCCUGUCUCUUGAGUAAAAUGAGGACAAAUUUGUCUCACUGUCACAGAGGAUAGAAUGGAGACAGUGGAACUAAGAGAAGGUGGCACAUGCUAGCUAUGCUCAACAAAUGUCAGCAAAUUUUGUUGAAAUGUGGAAGAUACUGACAAGAGCAAAGUUUUCAGAUCAGCACCAGUAACUUGUCUUACUUAAACCGUUAAAAUCACAUCUGUUUUGAUUUUUCCCCUUUUUCUCUUUUGAGCCUUUUAUUGGAAGAGCAGAUGCAGUCUGUGCGGGUAUGCAGUGCUGCAGUACGAAGUGAAUGGCACCCCCUGGAGUUGGGCAGUGCACAACGCUCAGUGCCUUACGUAGGAGGAUGGGCUUGACUGAGACUCUGAGCCAGACUCCCUGUGAUGAUGGUGUCUCCCCCGAGCCUGGCACACAGAGGUGCUUCCCAAGUAUUUCUUGUAUGAAUGAACGAACAGAUGAAUGGGCCAACCACUGUGCUGGAGCAUGUCAUUGUGGCCCUGAUGAGCUGUAGAAAUGGAAGCUUGGGAUUAGGGUUUUUCUGUGUGUGUGUCGUGUUUGUUUUUUUUUUUUCCUUUCUGUGGAGAUCAGUGCCUCACUCCGUUGCCUAGGCUGGUCUUGGUCUCCUGGGCUCAAGCAAUCCUCCUGCCUCUACCUUCCUUAGUGCUAGAAUGACAGGCGUGAGCUACUGCACCGGUGUGUAAAUUACACGUGUAAAUAUAGUGGCUUCGAGGCUCUCAUGACAGUAAUGCUACUCUAACAUUCUGAUAUGCUUUCUAAGUGGGAGAGGGCUGAUUUCAGUGAAGAGAAGCGUCGCACAAAGCCAGCUUGUGUCUGUGUCUCCGUGUGUGUUUUGUGUCUCAUGUUUCACCACAGUUAAUGGGUAGCUUCGCUUUCCAGCCAUCAGUGUCAUCAUCUUCAUUUUUCCCCCUUUCCAUUUCACUGCCAAACUGUUAUCACUGCUGGAGUAAAAGCUAGGAAUGCAAGUAGUUUCCCAGUUUAUAGCUGGUUGUAUCAACCCAUGACGUUACUGUUUAUGAAUUUGAACAUUCAAAAAGGCUAAUCUUCAAAAAAGCUUAGCAGGAUUUUCACAAUGACUGACAGAUAGUGUCCUGAGGCCCCAAUUAUGAAGAUUCUUAUGGUUAAAAUUGAGCAAGUUUUUUUUGGAGUACAUUGGCACGAUCUCGGCUCACUGUAGCCUCUGACUCCUGGGUUCAAGUGAUUCUCCUGCCUGCCUCAGCCUCCCAAGUAGCUGAGACUACAGGCGCACACCACCAUGCCUGGCUAAUUUUUGUAGUUUUAGCAGAAACGGGGUUUCACCAUGUUGGCCAGGCUGGUCUCCAAUGCCUGACCUCAAGUGAUCCGCCCGCCUCGGUCUCUCAAAGUGCUGGGAUUAUAGGCGUGAGCCACCGAGCCCAAUCAAGCAAGUAUUUAGCUAUGUGCCUGUGUUAGCCUGGGUACUGCGCUAGGUUCUGGGCACAGGGGAAUGAUUAAGACAUGGUUCUACUCUUAAGGGGCUUUAUGGUCACCAUUAAAAGAGUGGAUGUGAGCUCAAGUGUCAUUUUGUGUCAUGGGGUAAACUGUUCUAACUAUUUCAGUCAGGCUUCUGGCAAGACAUGGCACAGUCAGCAUGAGGGAUUGGUGAGGAGUUGAAUAAAGGGAUUCCCCACAAGGAGAGGGCAGCGUGGAGACCCCCAAAGCCUGAUGCAGGAUUAGCAACAGCCAUGCACUUCUCACUUCCAGGCCUGCGGGAGGGGCAGAGGAGAGGGCUGCCUUGGAGGAAGGGAGGGUUGGAGGACCUGGCCCAGCUGCAGCCGCACCUCAGCGAGGCAACCCGGGGAACACUCCCCAUCUCCGCUGUCCCUUUUCAUCUUCCUCCUACUGUUGAUCCUCAUUGCUGAAUCCAACCAGAACCUGAGGGUGAGUGUCCGGGUGAAGGGUUGGUAUAGGUCAGCCAGGUGGCUGCUGGGGCACAGAGCAGGAUAGACAGUGGUUUUCAAGAACAGGUGGAAGAUUCCAGCACUGUACUAGUCCUGUGGCUGCUGUAACAUGACCACAAACUGGGCAGCUUGCAACAACAGAAACUUAAUUCUGUCACAGCUCUGGAGGCCAGAAGUCUGAAAUCAGGGUACCCUGUUCCCUCUGGAGGCUCUAGGGGAGGACUCUUCUUUGCCGCUUCCAGCUUCUCAUGUGUGCUGGCGUCCUGGGCUUGUGACCACAUCAUGCUGCCCCCGUCUUCACAUGGCUUUCACGUCUGCCUCUGUCUUCUCCAUGUGUCUCUUAAAAGGACUCUUGUCGGCCGGGCAGGGUGGCUCACGCAUGUAAUUCUAACACUUUGGGAGGCCAAGGCGGGCAGAUCACUUGAGGCCAGGAGUUUGAGACCAGCCUGGCCAACAUGGUAAAACCCCGUCUCUACUGAAAACACAAAAAUUAGCCAGGUGUGGUGGCAUGCGCCUGUAAUCCCAGCUACUCAGGAGGCUGAGGCAGGAGAAUCUGAGGCAGGAGAAUCGCUUGAACCUGGGAGGCGGAGGUUGUAGUGAGCCGAGAUUGCCCCACUGCACUCCAACCUGGGUGACAGAGCCAGACUGCCUCAAAAAAAAAAAAAAAAAAAAAAAGGACUCUUGUCAUUGGAUUAGGGCCACCUAGAUGAUUAAAGAUGAUUGUUUCAUUUCCAGAUACUUCAUUACAUUUGCAAAGACCUUUUUUCCAAUAAAUGUAGGUUCUAGAGAUUAGGGUGUAGACACAUCUUUUUGGGGGAGGGGGGCACACCAUUCAGCACACCACAAGCAUCCUGUCACUCCCAGGAGACUUACAACACCUUCGUGACACAGCAGUGGACAGGUUUUUUGUUUUGUUUUGUUUUUCUUUCUUUUCUUUUUUUUUUUUUUUUUGAGACGGAGUCUCCCUCUGUCACCAGGCUGGAGUGUAGUGGCACAAUCUUGGCUCACUGCAACCUCUGCCUCCCGGGUUCAAGCGAUUCUCUUGCCUCAGCCUCCUGAGUAGCUGGGACUACAGGCGGGCACCACCCUGCCCAGCUAAUUUUUGUAUUUUUAGUAGAGAUGGGGUUUCACCAUGUUGGCCGGGGUGGUCUUGAUCUCUUGACCUCGUGACCCACCUGCCUCGGCCUCCCAAAGUGCUGGGAUUACAGGCGUAAGCCACCGCACCCGGUCUAGCAGUGGACAGAUUUUAUGAUUCUGUUUGUCAUAUUUAGUAGCUGCACUCUCCUAAGGAAAGGAACCUCACCUUCCUGUUCACUUUUCUGUCUCCAUUGCCUGUACUUCCAGAGCCAGCCCGUGAUGAUGCCUGAAAAAAUUUUUUUUGAUGUAUGAAUAGAUGAACAAACAAGCACAGAAGAAUACAGUGUGAAUACAGUGAAGCCAGAGGUGUACUCUGCGAAUACAUGAGACACCCUUGAGUGGAAUGGUUUCAGUAGAUGGAUUGUAUGAGGUGUGAAUUGUAUCUCAAUCAAGCGGGGCCUCAGGGAGUGCCCACCACUAAGGGUCUAGCUCUGUGUGGCGUUGGUGGGGCUGGGGAAGGUUUAGAAAAGGUUCCGUUGCUAAGACCUUGGUUAGGGUAGAGUUUGCAGCAGAGAUUUGGAUAGGAGGGCGUUCCAGGCUGAAGAGCCAGUGUGAGCAGAGUCUUUGUGGGAAGAACAUUUUAUAUUCCUGGACCUAAUGCUUGUUUAACAAGAUGCUUGCUUGUGGCUGGGCGCAGUGGCUCAAGCCUGUAAUCCCAGCACUUUGGGAGGCUGAGGCAAGAGGAUCGCUUGAGCUCAGGAGGUCAAGGUUGCAGUGAGCCAUGAUUGCACCACUGCAUGUCAGCCUGCGUGAUAGAACAAGACCCUGUCUCAAAAAAUAAAAAAUGACAAUAAAGAUUGCUUGUUAAAUAAAAUGUGAUUUAUUUACUUUGCAUAAAUACUAUGCCUUCUGAGAAUGCUGUAGGUGCGGGCAUAUUUUGUUUUUAUCCUAACGCAGCCCAAAUUCCAAGUACACACUGGAUUUUGAGCAUUUAAAGGACUUCCGGUGCUAUUAAGGAUUCCCAUUUGUUUGUUCAAGUUUGCUAAACGAAUUCAGUCAUGUCACUUACUUAGUUGUUGUAAGUAUUAUAUUACAGUGUGAAGGGGGUAAAAAGAACUGCUAUGAGUAUCUUUCCAUGAAGAAGAUUUAGCUUGGAAAUGUGGGCAGAUUUGUCUGCCUUUGUGUUUAGGAAGGCACAAUUAUAAUUACAGGUGGAGGAGCUAGACACUGGCCAGCUGGAAUCAGAAUUUCACAUUGUAGAAGUGUCUGGUCUGGAAAGCAUCCAUGGGAAACCUACACCCUUGACCCAGCAUUGGCCACAGAGCUGCAGGCGGUCUCCUGCCUCUGCCUCUGCCCCUGCGUGCCUCUCCUUUGUAGCAGCCGUGGCAUAUGCAGAGGGGACUGUAGAUCUCUUUUCUUUCUUGCUGACUUUAUUUUCUACCACACUCCCCCAACCCAAAUAAAGAAAUAAUGACAUGUGCAUUUGAGAUAGUGUGUGUGUUUUUUUUUUUUCUCUUUCUGAGAUGGAGUCUUACUCUGUUGCCCAGGCUGAAGUGCAGUGGUACAAUCUUAGCUCACUGCAACCUCUGCUUCCCAGGUUCAAGCAACUCUCAUGCCUCAGCCUCCCCAGUAGCUGGGAUUAUAGGCACCCGCCACCACAGCUGGCUAAUUUUUUUGUAUUUUUAGUAGAGGUGGGGCUUCAUCAUUUUGGCUAGGCUGGUCUCGAACUCCUGACCUCAAGUGAUCCAUCCGCCUUGGCCUCCCAAAGUGCUGGGAUUACAGGUACGAGCCACCGUGCCCAGCCAGACUGUGUGUUCUGAGAGAGUUACAUAUAUUAAUGUAAGCAUCCCAAGAGAUAAAAAGAGACCUCCACAUUUCUGCCUGGAUAAGUAUAUAUAAGAUACUUUUUUUUAACUUAAAACAGAAAAACCCUUUCUCUACAAAGUUAUGCGUGCUUGCUCUAAUGAAUCAAACACUGUGAUAGUUAAAAGUAGAAAGUGGAAAGUAAAAAAAUCAUACCACUCGGGCUGCUGCUGUUACCCUGGGGUGAGCAUGCUUCCAGAGAGUUCUCUGUGCUCAUGCACGGAUAGGUGGGCAGAAAUAAGUUUAGACAAGCCAGGUCCUACUACAAAUGCUGUAAUCAGGCAUCUCAUUUUUCUUCACUUAUGAGAAGUAAUGGAAACUGAAGUGAAACUGAGUAAAUUUAUAAGAAUGUUUCUUUACCACAGAGAGAUUAUUUCCUGAAAAGACUUUUCUAUGGUUAACAAAAAGGAUCAUGAGAAUGAUCAAGAGGUUGGCAUCACUGUUUUCAAUUUCAGGUAUCUGUUGGUGCCUACCAUGAAACAAAGACAGUGGCAACUUAAGAUUUUUUUUUUUUUUUUUUUUUAGUUUGAUGGUUCCUAAAAUACCUCUCUAAGCAUUCUCAGAUUUACUGUACAGAUUUGGUCACAGACAUUGAGGCUGGAAUCAGUCGGAGAGGGGUGGAGAGCCGGGUGUAUGUGGCCGGAGUGGCUGCCAUCUGGGCCUUGCUGAGUGGUGUAUGCUGCGCCUGUGGAGGCCUCCCGGGCCUGUCCUGGCCAAUUUGCCUUUGCUUUGCAAAUGAACAAAGCUGUUGUUUCUCCUCCCCCCUUUUUUUUUCCAACUGUAACAAUGAAAAGAUUGAGGAAAGAGUUUCUACAUUGAUUGUAGCAUCCAAGGUGUGUUCUGGGGCAGGUUUUGAGUGUUAAAAAGUUUUAUCCAAUGCUUAAGAAAAGACAUUCACCUUCAGCACAUGCAUCCUGGCCAUUGUCCCUACUGCCAUUAUCCUGCAGGAUGCUGUGGGUAUUCUCUGGGUGGCCACUUAGAAUUUACUGUAUUUGUCUGGGUGUGGUGGCUCAUGCUUGUAAUCCUAGAACUUUGGGAGGCCGAGGCAGGGAGAUUACUUGAGGUCAGGAGUUCAAGACCAACCUGGCUAAUGUGGCAAAACCUCGUCUCUACUAAAAAUACAAAAAAAAAAAAAAAAAAAAAAAUUAGCCAGGUGUGGUACACACCUGUAAUCCCAGCUACUUGAGAGGCUGAGGCACGGGAAUUGCUUGAACCUGGCAGGCGGAGGCUGCAGUGAGCUGAGAUCACGCCACUGCAUUCCAGUCUCGGUGACAGAGCGAGACUCUGUCUCAAUUUAAAAAAAAAGUUAUCGUAUUUAUAUGAAAACAUCUGAAUACCCAAAGGAUAUUUAAAAAAUCACUGCCAGUUUAACAGUCCUCAGUUGGAGUUUUUUUUUUUUUUUUUUUUUUUUUUUUUUUUUUGAGACGGAGUUUCACUCUUGUUGCCCAGGCUGGAGUGCAGUGGCGCGAUCUUGGCUCACUGCAACCUCUGCCUCCCAAGUUCAAGUGAUUCUUCUGCCUCAGCCUCCGAGUAGCUGGGAUUACAGGCAUGUGCCACCAUGCCCGGCUAAUUUUGUAUUUUUCUUAGAGAAGGGGUCUCUCCAUGUUGGUCAGGCUGGUCUUGAACUCCUAACCUCAGGUGAUCUGCCUGCCUCAGCCUCCCAAAGUGCUGGGAUUACAGGUGUGAGCCACCGCACUCGGCCUCAGUUGGAGUUUUAUUUGGCCUCUUUUGAUGCCUGGUGGCUUAUGUGUGUCCUAUACAAAACAAAUUGCCUUUUUUCCCCAGACCCCAGAAAUGUGGACACGUGAGUUGUCUUUAUUAUAGUCCACGCUUUCCUUGUGUUCUUCUCCUCUAGGACUUUCUAAUAUAUAGGACAAGUGAUUUUGACUUGACUUAAACCCUACGGAAAUAAGAUUUUGUUUGUAGAUGCAUUUGUAUGGUGAAACUGGAGCAAAAGUCUUCAGCUUAGCGGUAUGUAUCAGCAGGGAGCUUUGAAGGCAGCAUCCAUGCCUGGCCCCUCCUGAAGAGCUCAACAGGUAGGGGUUGGUCGGGACAUUGAGAUUUGUAACAGCAGCCUCCCUACUCCCCAGUAAACGGGGAUCGUAAGGCACAGCCGAGGCUGAGACUGCUGUGGGGUAGUCUAGGCCGCCUGCUGGAAUGUCGGUCGGUGCUGCAUUGAGCGCUGUCUUUCAAGUGGUUGCGUGGGAGACCUGCACUUGCUGUGUGCUACCUUGACUGAGGACUUUUGAGGAAAUUCUGUUUGACAAUUACUUUAAGGUCCAGCGUGACACCCUCCCUCAGACUUAGUCUCUAGUGACUUUCUGAUGGGAGCGCCUCUGCUUCAUCAAGGAUUGGAGGCACUUAGCUCUCAACAAACUUAGGUCGCUUUUUUUCCUCCACAGUUUUGUUACCUCCCUUAUUUGCCAGGCUUGGCUUUGAGUGAAUCUUGGCUUUUUUGGGGUUGUGGGGGGCUCUCUGAUUCAUUCAGCAGAUCUUCACUGAGUGGCAGAUGUGUGCAAAGUGCUUGGGAUGCCAAAGACAAGUGUGUCGUCUGUAUUUAGUGUUGGGACAGACAGUGAUUGAGACAACAGAUUUAAUCUUCACUGAUGACAGUGAUGAUGCCACGAAAGACAUGGGCGCUGACAGAGGGUGGCUGCUGGUGUAGGCAGGAUGGUUAGGGACCUCCUUUCUCAGAACUGACCGGGAAGGGAUGGUGGGGACCAGGCCAUUUGGGGCCUCACAGAUCAGGGCUGAUGAGUUUGGCUCCAUUUAUGCUUGACUCAGUUUAUUUGAGGGUGGGAGCACUCCUGUUUCUCAGAAUUCCCUGUGCCUAACCCCAGGCGUGGCAGAUAAUACUCGCUCAGUAAAUGUUUAUUGAACAAAUGAUUGAUUGAGAGUGAUGGAACACACAGAACUGUGGGUCUGGGAGCAGGAGCGCGAGGCCUGUCUCUGAAUGCAGCCUGGACAAUGUGCCCUUCUCCUCAUCCGCCAGGUGAGACCAGCAGGAGAAAGCCAUCUCAGCAGUGGUUGGUGGUUGUAUUUACAGUUAAAUUUUAUUUUGAGAUGCUCAUAGUUUCACAUGCAGUUGAAAGAAUACAGAGAGAUCCUGUGUCCCCUUCUCCCAGCUGCCCCCUGGGUAACAUCUGGUGAAAUUCAACGCACUCUCAGCACCAGGAUCGGGGCACUGAUACUGCCAGGACACAGAACAUCAGGACGGCUCCGUCCCCGUGCAAAUCCGUCAUGUCGGCCUUUUAUAGUCCCACACACACCGCUAAUCUGUUCUCUAUUUUUGUGAUUUUGUAUUUCAAGGGUGUUGUGUGCAUGGGGUCAUGGAGUGAGUGGCCCUUUGGGGUUGGCUGUUUUCCUUCAGUGUGAUUCCCUAGAGCGUUCUCAGUCCCGCCAGUCAAGUUUCUUCCUUUUGCUGCUGAGUGGUAUUUUGCGGCCUGGCUGGCCUGCAGCUUGUUUAACCAUUCACCUGUUAAAAGACACCUGGGCUGCGUCCAGAUUUUAGUUGUUACAAAUAAAUGUUGCUCUCAACAGUCCUGAGCAGGUUUUUGUUGAAUAUAAGUUUUCAUUUCUCUGAUAUAAAUGCCCAAGAGUACAACUUCUGGGUCAUAGGGUAGUUACGUAUUCAGCUUUAUUAAAAAGUGCCUGUUUUCCAGAGUGGCCAUACAGUGGUUUUUGUUUGUUCUUUUAAAUGACUUAACAAUGGAAGGAAAGACGCUUCUGCAUGGCCUGGCAUAGAAAGCCCAUGGAGAGCCGCCCUGUGGGUGGGGAAGCGGGUGACGGGAGCCCCACUGCUUACCAGAAACCCGAGUGAAACUGCGUCUUUCCAGUCCCAAGAUUCUCCUUUUUUGCUAAAGGCAUCAGAAGAGAUGAAAGCAUUUCUACCACCCACAUUUCGAGGACACUCCUAGCUUUUACUUUAGAGUUGGGAGAGAGGUUUGGUUUUCAUUGUCAUUUAAAUCCUGUUGGGUUUCAGCAGAGCCUGAUCUUUAGGGCCCUGGGUGCAGCUGUUGUCUGGAGAUGCAGAUCACUGUCUGCUGAAAAGAGCCCUCCUGCUGGGGUUAGGGAUCUCCUGAUUGAGGCAUGGAUCCAAGGGCUUCUUUCUUUGUUCUCUGAUUCCCUGAGGCUCUUCCUUGUGUGUGUGGUGCGUGUGCACUCGUGUGAGCGCACCAGGAACUAUGACAGCAAUCAACGGGUAUGACUGGGGGUGGGGAGCAGAGGCAGCAUGGCCAGGAAUCUAUACUCGAGCUACUAAGAGGAAGGAAGUCGCAGCAAAAAUAGCCUGGGUGGGGUGGUAGAAAAUAUUAAGGGGAAAAUGAGAUGACUGGGGUGGCGUUGAAGAAGAGCUGCUUAAAGAGAAACAGGGACACACGCUGGGUAAGGAAUCGCAUGCUGUUGAAACUGACGGUGUGGAAGGAAAGUGAGGUGGCGGCGGCUGGGCUGUGGUAGAGGAAGCCGAUCACCAGUGAGUGAAAAGGGAACUAGGGUACCCACGCGUUUGUGUUUUUUAUUUAAACUUUGGCUAAGUUUUGCUAGGAGCGUUUUGCCUUUUUUUCUCAGACCUUCUACUCCUGUCGUUCUCCCCUAAGUUCUGGGCAUGUGGCUUCUUCUCUACCUACCAGGGUAGCCUGUCAUUGCUUUAAAGGACAAAAUGAAAUCCCUGAUGGGCAAAAUAUGUCCCCCCUCUUCCCCCAGCUUUUGGUCGGCUUUGCUCACCCACCAACAGCUAGGAGCUGGAAGGCUCAGAAGAGCUGGGGUGGGCAUGGGAGAGACAGAGGAACCCCGGUGGCUGGAAACACAGUUCCUUCCCAGGGUCUCUUCAGCUUGCUGGUUGGACCUCUUAGCCUGCUUAUGAAGCCUGAAUUGACAUCAUGCCAACUGGUCUCCUGCUGAUAAGUGAUUCCUUAACUUCCUCGGGAGCAGCAGAAACUUGUUUUGAAAAAAAUCAGAUUCUAAAUCUUUACAGCUGUUUACUUCUGCAAGCACAAUGGCCGUAGUAAGGAAUUCAAGUCACAGCGCAGCCGUGGCAGGGAAGGCUCUGCAUGGAGUCACAGGACAAAGCCUGUCCUGGAAACGUGCUGGAAGGAAGUCGGCCUCAUUCUUUACGACGGGCAGCAGCUCCAAAUGAGAAACCAAGGGGCUUGGCUCUGGGUCAGUAGCAUCUGCCUGGCAUGCGGUGCCAGCUGUGGAGACCAGUGAGGUGGCAGCAGCUGCACUGGGCUCCUGGGGUGUGCGUGGGGACCUCAGGGGUUUAGGAGCUGAUAUACUUUUGGUUCUCAUCAUCUUGUGUGUUCCUUGCAGACACAGAAUGUUCAGCUUAACAAAGAAAUGACACUUGCCAGCAACCGGAGCCUGGCAGAAGGAAACCUUUUGUACCAGCCCCAGCUGGACACGUUGAAAGCACGCUUGACCCAGAAAUACCAGGAACUCCAGGUUCUCUUUGAAGCCUAUCAGAUAAAGAAGACCAAAUUAGGUAACUUUUUAAGGGUGAUCAUUCGAGAAUAAAGAGUUGAGAGAAGGACACAUUUUCAAGCUAUUGCCCUACCAGGAAAGAAAUAUUACGGAAAAAUUUCAGGUUAAGAUAGCGACUCUACUGCAAUGAACAAAUAGCUUAUGUAUAUUAUUUAUUUAUUUUUAGAGACAGGGUCUUGCUCUGUCAGACUGGAGUGCAGUGGCGCAACCAUGGCUCAGCACGACCUCCUGGGCUCAGGUGAUCCUCCUGUCUCAGCCUCCUGAGUAGCUGGGACCACAGGUGUGCACUACCCCAAGCAGGCUAGUUUUUCAUUUUUUUGCAGAGAGGUUGUCUUGCUAUGUUGCCCAGGCUGGUCUUGAACUCAAGCCAUCCUCCUGCCUUUGCCUCACAAAGUGCUGCUAUUACAGACAUGAGCCACUGUAUUGGACUAGUUUAUGUAUGGAAUAUGGAGGGCCCCCAGACCUGCGGCCUCUCUGCACUUGCGGUUCGAGAGGGCAGGGUGUAUAGCAGGACUGCCCCCUCCUCCCAGUGGCCCUGACUGGUGGCGGUGACUGCUGAGGUCAGCCCAGGUCCACACGCACCUCCAGGGUCUGCAGUGUGAAGCAGGUUGCAGAAACGUGGGUACCUCGGGGCAGUUACCAGAAAAGGGGCUGGAGAUUAGGAGGAAGCCAGCCAGUUUAGCAGUCACCAGUUUAGAAGAGGAGACUUAACCACUUUUUAAAUUCAAGACCCCACCUUCUCUAAACAGCAUAGAAAAAGCUUUCUGAAUUAUGAUAUUAAACAGAUGUCUUAUGACGUUUGCCCGUUUGUCUUAUGCUGUUUGUUAAUGGU